Molecule: long non-coding RNA, 179 nt
Organism: Danio aesculapii
Lineage: Eukaryota; Metazoa; Chordata; Actinopteri; Cypriniformes; Danionidae
Exons: 3
Source: RefSeq, a predicted model, not a curated record
GUUUCUUCCAACUGCGACUCAGAAGUUAGUACAACAGACACCAGCCCAGGAUCUCCUCUUGACAAAUACGAGCUUGGAAGAAAGCUGGGAAAGGGACACACUGGCACUGUCUACUUGGCAACACGCAAAUCUGAUGGAAAAAAGGUUGCCCUGAAAUUCGUUCUUGAUUCUGACAUUCC